This 1708-nucleotide long non-coding RNA is filed under the name Strigops habroptila (Kakapo). RNAcentral describes it as "lncRNA (ENSSHBG00005014642.1)". Lineage: Eukaryota; Metazoa; Chordata; Aves; Psittaciformes; Psittacidae. The record is from RNAcentral.
UGAUGAUAUAGUUCUUUUUAUGCUUUCUGCAAAAUACUGAGAAGGAAGUAAAGAUGACUUAAAGAGGGUGGCUUUCUAAUAAACAGUAACUAUCUGCUGAUUCACAAGGUUCUGGAAUAGCCUGUAGGUGAGAGCUGAAGAUCUUUAAAAUAAACCCUUGCUUAAACCAAAUUACAGUUCUGGUGAAUGAAGUACAUGCCAACUUUCCAUUGUGCUUUGAAAGAAAAUAGUGCUUAUGCAGAAUUGCUUCUGGGUACUUCUUUAAUUCAGGAAUGAUCUAAUUGUUUGUUGGCCAGUACAGUCUAUGAGCAGGGUAUUUGGGAGCUUUGCUGGAACUUAGCAGCAUCAUUGCCUUACUUAUGUGGUAGGAAGAAAGGCUUAGUUCCUACUUAAUUGGCUUUUCGGGGGGGAAGUAUGUGUGUAUGGAGUGGGGGGAGGGAUGGGAUCAUGCCAUCACUGAAGUCACUGAGACUUCUUCACUUAAUUUGAACUGAAUUCACGUUUAACCCAAUCUUUACUCUGACGCUGGUGGGGUCGGGGGGGUGUGUGUAUAUAUAUUUUUUUAUCUUUUUUUUUUUUUUUAAUUUUAUUUAAUCUGUUUGUUUGUUUUGCUUUCCCAAAUUACUUGAAGUACUUGGAAUAACUUUCUCAAAUCUUUCUGAAAAUCCCACUAGGUACCUACAUGAGACCAUUUGCAAGAAGAGGUGUUAUCUCUCACUUCCCACAGCCCCAUCAGUUGAUUUAAAAGGAAACGGGCUGCCUUUUGGGCUCACAGGCUCUGCUGCAGGUCUGGAACAAAAGUAAAGUCAACUUUGAAAUAUCUGCAUCACUGAAAAUACAUCUUAAGUGCUAAAGUCAGCAGAAGUCAAAGUUUCUGUUAGAAGUUGGACGAGUAGUCUGCACGUCCAUGUUGCAGCCUCUAGACAGCAGCAAGUGUCCAGCAAAUUGUUUGUUGUGGCUCUGUCACCAGGAUCUGUUUUUUUUUUUUUUGUUACAGGUAGGCAUUGCUCCAGACUCUCAAGGGAUUUGGAAACUUAAGAGGAAGAAACUUGGGCAUGUAGUAGAUGUCUCCGCAGUAAAAGCUUUUCUUUAUCUUCCCAAUACUAUCUGGUACUAACUGUAGUUGGCAAUUUUAUAGGAGAAGUCCUUGUCUAUUCCACAUCUGUGUAGUCAACAGUCAUUCCUUUGCUAAUACUUUUAAAGCAUUUGAUUAAUGUUUAUUUUUUAUUUAAAUAAUUACUUGAGUGUGGGUGGUGCUUUGUUAAUAAUGGGAGCUAAAUGCUCUUGGUGUGGGUUUGGUCAUUCUGGAAAACUCCCAUUUGAUCUGUCUAUCUACACCAGGGAAAAGUAUCCUGCUUCAGAAAAGUCAACUGCACAGAACUUGGCUCAUUUAGACUGAGACUAGGGAAAAAAGUAAAGUUUAUGAUGUAUAUAAUUCUUUCAUGCUUGGUAAUUCAGUUUGGUAUAGUAUUAAUUUGACAGAAUUAGCAACACACAUUUCUGUAUAUUAAAGUGAGAAUGAGUUUGUUGAUGAAUAAGAACAUUUAAGAUUAAAGUCAGUAAAUUAGAACCAAGAUGUGUCUUGUGAAGGAAAUAACUUAUUUGAAAAUGAGCAAAGGCAGGCCUGCACAUAUGCCAAGAAUCUGUUGUCAAAUUGCUACUGCAGAAAUGACUACUUAAAACAAUAAAUCCAGUAGUGAAUUGGUUU